RNAcentral lists this ribosomal RNA (1435 nucleotides) under uncultured organism. RNAcentral describes it as "16S ribosomal RNA". It matches the Rfam family "Bacterial small subunit ribosomal RNA". The record is from RNAcentral.
CAGGCUUAACACAUGCAAGUCGAGGGGCAGCAUUUUAGUUUGCUUGCAAACUGAAGAUGGCGACCGGCGCACGGGUGAGUAACACGUAUCCAACCUGCCGAUAACUCCGGAAUAGCCUUUCGAAAGAAAGAUUAAUACCGGAUAGCAUACGAAUAUCGCAUGAUAUUUUUAUUAAAGAAUUUCGGUUAUCGAUGGGGAUGCGUUCCAUUAGUUUGUUGGCGGGGUAACGGCCCACCAAGACUACGAUGGAUAGGGGUUCUGAGAGGAAGGUCCCCCACAUUGGAACUGAGACACGGUCCAAACUCCUACGGGAGGCAGCAGUGAGGAAUAUUGGUCAAUGGGCGAGAGCCUGAACCAGCCAAGUAGCGUGAAGGAUGAAGGCUCUAUGGGUCGUAAACUUCUUUUAUAUGGGAAUAAAGUUUUCCACGUGUGGAAUUUUGUAUGUACCAUAUGAAUAAGGAUCGGCUAACUCCGUGCCAGCAGCCGCGGUAAUACGGAGGAUCCGAGCGUUAUCCGGAUUUAUUGGGUUUAAAGGGAGCGUAGGUGGAUUGUUAAGUCAGUUGUGAAAGUUUGCGGCUCAACCGUAAAAUUGCAGUUGAGACUGGCAGUCUUGAGUACAGUAGAGGUGGGCGGAAUUCGUGGUGUAGCGGUGAAAUGCUUAGAUAUCACGAAGAACUCCGAUUGCGAAGGCAGCUCACUAGACUGUCACUGACACUGAUGCUCGAAAGUGUGGGUAUCAAACAGGAUUAGAUACCCUGGUAGUCCACACAGUAAACGAUGAAUACUCGCUGUUUGCGAUAUACAGUAAGCGGCCAAGCGAAAGCAUUAAGUAUUCCACCUGGGGAGUACGCCGGCAACGGUGAAACUCAAAGGAAUUGACGGGGGCCCGCACAAGCGGAGGAACAUGUGGUUUAAUUCGAUGAUACGCGAGGAACCUUACCCGGGCUUAAAUUGCAACAGAAUAUAUUGGAAACAGUAUAGCCGUAAGGCUGUUGUGAAGGUGCUGCAUGGUUGUCGUCAGCUCGUGCCGUGAGGUGUCGGCUUAAGUGCCAUAACGAGCGCAACCCUUAUCUUUAGUUACUAACAGGUUAUGCUGAGGACUCUAGAGAGACUGCCGUCGUAAGAUGUGAGGAAGGUGGGGAUGACGUCAAAUCAGCACGGCCCUUACGUCCGGGGCUACACACGUGUUACAAUGGGGGGUACAGAAGGCGGCUACCUGGUGACAGGAUGCUAAUCCCAAAAACCUCUCUCAGUUCGGAUCGAAGUCUGCAACCCGACUUCGUGAAGCUGGAUUCGCUAGUAAUCGCGCAUCAGCCAUGGCGCGGUGAAUACGUUCCCGGGCCUUGUACACACCGCCCGUCAAGCCAUGAAAGCCGGGGGUACCUGAAGUACGUAACCACGAGGAGCGUCCUAGGGUAAAACUGGUAAUUGGGGC